GGAUGUGAGGGCGCUCUGACUGCGACAUCUGUCACCCCAUUGAUCGCCAGGGUUGAUUCGGCUGAUCUGGCUGGCUAGGCGGGUGUCCCCCUCCUCCCUCACCGAUCCAUGUGCGUCCCUCCCGAAGCUGCGCGCUCGGUCGAAGAGGACGACCUUCCCCCCCGAGGAGAGGACCGGUCUUCGGUCAAGGGUAUACGAGUAGCUGCGCUCCCCUGCUAGAACCUCCAAACAAGCUCUCAAGAACAGUAUGCCAUAUACGCCAGGUCCCUUGAAACAUAUGCUGUGCAGAUGUUUCUU
RNAcentral lists this small nuclear RNA (297 nucleotides) under Myotis davidii. Its description in RNAcentral is "7SK RNA". It matches the Rfam family "7SK RNA". Rfam says of the family: 7SK was discovered as an abundant small nuclear RNA in the mid-70s but a possible function has only recently been suggested. Two independent studies have found that 7SK RNA binds the CDK9/cyclin T complex (known as elongation factor P-TEFb). Lineage: Eukaryota; Metazoa; Chordata; Mammalia; Chiroptera; Vespertilionidae. The record is from Rfam by way of RNAcentral.